Molecule: ribosomal RNA, 468 nt
Filed under: uncultured bacterium
Lineage: Bacteria
Description: partial 16S ribosomal RNA
Rfam family: Bacterial small subunit ribosomal RNA
Source: RNAcentral
GACGAACGCUGGCGGCGUGCUUAACACAUGCAAGUCGAACGGAAAGGCCCUGCUUUUGUGGGUUGUCCGAGUGCCGACCGGGUGAGUACCACGUGAGUAACCUGCCCUUGACUUUGGGAUAACUUCAGGAAACUGGGGCUAUUACCGGAUAGGAGCUCCUGCUGCAUGGUGGGGGUUGGAAAGUUUCGGCGGUUGGGGAUGGACUCGCGGCUUAUCAGCUUGUUGGUGGGGUAGUGGCUUACCAAGGCUUUGACGGGUAGCCGGCCUGAGAGGGUGACCGGCCACAUUGGGACUGAGAUACGGCCCAGACUCCUACGGGAGGCAGCAGUGGGGAAUAUUGCACAAUGGGCGGAAGCCUGAUGCAGCAACGCCGCGUGCGGGAUGACGGCCUUCGGGUUGUAAACCGCUUUCGCCUGUGACGAAGCGUGAGUGACGGUAAUGGGUAAAGAAGCACCGGCUAACUACGUG